GACGAACGCUGGCGGCGUGCUUAACACAUUCAAGUCGAACGGAAAGGCCCUGCUUUUGUGGGUUGCUCGAGUGGCGAACGGGUGUGUAACACGUGAGUAACCUGCCCUUGACUUUGGGAUAACUUCAGGAAACUGGGGCUAAUACCGGAUAGGAGCUCCUGCUGCAUGGUGGGGGUUGGAAAGUUUCGGCGGUUGGGGAUGGACUCGCGGCUUAUCAGCUUGUUGGUGGGGUAGUGGCUUACCAAGGCUUUGACGGGUAGCCGGCCUGAGAGGGUGACCGGCAACAUUGGGAAUGAGAUACGGCGCAGACUGCUACGGGAGGCAGCAGUGGGGAAUAUUGUACAAUGGGCGGAAGAAUGAUGCAGCAAAGCCGCGUGCGGGAAGACGGCCUUAGGGUUGUAAACCGCGUUCGCAUGUGACGAAGCGUGAGUGAAGGUAAAGGGUAAAGAAGCACCGGCUAACUACGUG
RNAcentral lists this ribosomal RNA (468 nucleotides) under uncultured bacterium. Its description in RNAcentral is "partial 16S ribosomal RNA". It matches the Rfam family "Bacterial small subunit ribosomal RNA", at positions 28 to 507 of the family's 1533-position model. The record is from RNAcentral.